This 470-nucleotide ribosomal RNA is filed under the name uncultured bacterium. RNAcentral describes it as "bacterial SSU rRNA". It matches the Rfam family "Bacterial small subunit ribosomal RNA", at positions 32 to 523 of the family's 1533-position model. The record is from RNAcentral.
AACGACGCUGGCAGCGUGCAUACACGACGCAAGUCUUAACGAUGAAGCAUUCUUCUGGAAUGUGGAAGAGUGGCGAACGGGUGAGGAACACGUAAGAAUCUGCCCCUCGGUCGGGGACAACUCUUGUGAAACGAGAGCUAAUACCCGAUACGCUGUGGAGUGAAAGAAUUUCGCCGAGGGAUGAUCUUGCGUCUGAUUAGCUAGUUGGUGUGGUAAUGGCACACCAAGGCGACGAUCAGUAGCUGGUCUGAGAGGAUGGACAGCCACAUUGGAACUGAGACACGGACCAAACUCCUACGGGAGGCAGCAGUGGGGAAUUUUCCGCAAUGGACGCAAGUCUGACGGAGCGACGCUGCGUGAAGGAUUGACGGCCCGCGGGUUGUAAACUUCUUUUCUCGAACGAAGAAACACAAUGACGGUAUUCGAGGAAUAAGCAUCGGUAACUCCUCAGUGCCACAGCCCCGCCGUGU